This is a long non-coding RNA of Gymnodraco acuticeps, 313 nucleotides long. RefSeq lists it as uncharacterized. The transcript has 3 exons. The record is from RefSeq and is a predicted model, not a curated record. NCBI's taxonomy places the organism in Eukaryota, Metazoa, Chordata, Actinopteri, Perciformes, Bathydraconidae.
AGCGUGACAUCUUCGCAUGGCUUUUGUGGUGUCUGUGGCAGAGACAUCACAUUUCUAAAAGAUGUGGCUAACAAAGUCCCUGAGGAGAUGCCCACCACUAGUGCACAUCUAAGUGCACAGUCUAGCACCAGUGCAGCAGGAAGCUCAGCUGUAGAGUCCUUUAAAAAAUAUAGGGAAAUAAAAGAGGGAGAGAAAGACCUUUUUUACAAAGGGACGGCAUAACUCCAAAAAUGAAAAGAAACAGAAAUUGGUGAAGAUUUCUGUUGGAGUAAUGAGGAGGAUGGAUGGCUGCCUUAAACCUGUGAGAGGGAGG